UGUAGCAUACAAGGCAGACGGCUCAGUAACGCGUAGUCAACCUACCCUAUGGACGGGAAUAAUCUCGGGAAACUGGGCAUAAUUCUUGAUAGAUCAUAAUGCCUGGAAUGGUUUAUGGUUAAAAUGAUUCGUCGCCAUAGGAUGGGACUGCGGCCUAUCAGCUUGUUGGUGAGGUAAUGGCCCACCAAGGCGAUUACAGGUACGGGCUCUGAGAGGAGAAGCCCGGAGAUGGGUACUGAGACACGGACCCAGGCCCUAUGGGGCGCAGCAGGCGAGAAAACUUUGCAAUGUGCGAAAGCACGACAAGGUUAAUCCGAGUGAUUUCUGCUAAAGAAAUCUUUUGCCAGUCAUAGAACCACUGGUGAAUAAGGGGUGGGCAAGUUCUGGUGUCAGCCGCCGCGGUAAAACCAGCACCUCAAGUGGUCAGGAUGAUUAUUGGGCCUAAAGCAUCCGUAGCCGGCUUUGUUAGUUUUCGGUUAAAUCCAUGUGCUCAACGCAUGGGCUGCCGAAAAUACUGCAUAGCUAGGGAGUGGGAGAGGUAGACGGUACUCAGUAGGAAGGGGUAAAAUCCUUUGAUCUAUUGGUGACCACCUGUGGCGAAGGCGGUCUACCAGAACACGUUCGACGGUGAGGGAUGAAAGCUGGGGGAGCAAACCGGAUUAGAUACCCGG
This 671-nucleotide ribosomal RNA is filed under the name uncultured archaeon. RNAcentral's name for it is "bacterial SSU rRNA". It matches the Rfam family "Archaeal small subunit ribosomal RNA", at positions 67 to 740 of the family's 1478-position model. The record is from RNAcentral.